GACGAACGCUGGCGGCGUGCUUAACACAUGCAAGUCGAACGGAAAGGCCCUGCUUCUGUGGGGUGCUCGAGUGGCGAACGGGUGAGUAACACGUGAGUAACCUGCCCUUGACUUUGGGAUAACUUCAGGAAACUGGGGCUAAUACCGGAUAGGAGCUCCUGCUGCAUGGUGGGGGUUGGAAAGUUUCGGCGGUUGGGGAUGGACUCGCGGCUUAUCAGCUUGUUGGUGGGGUAGUGGCUUACCAAGGCUUUGACGGGUAGCCGGCCUGAGAGGGUGACCGGCCACCAUAGGACUGAGAGAGGGCCCAGACUCCUACGGGAGGCAGCGGUGGGGAAUAUGGCACAAUGAGCGGGAGCCUACUGCAGCAACGCCGGGUGCGGGAUGACGGCCUUCGGGUUGUGAACCGCUUUCGCCUGUGACGAAGCGUGAGUGACGGUAAUGGGUAAAGAAGCACCGGCUAACUACGUG
This 468-nucleotide ribosomal RNA is filed under the name uncultured bacterium. RNAcentral's name for it is "partial 16S ribosomal RNA". It matches the Rfam family "Bacterial small subunit ribosomal RNA", at positions 28 to 507 of the family's 1533-position model. The record is from RNAcentral.